Molecule: transfer RNA, 68 nt
Filed under: Eryx miliaris
Lineage: Eukaryota; Metazoa; Chordata; Lepidosauria; Squamata; Erycidae
Description: tRNA-Ile
Source: RNAcentral
GGAAAUGUGCCCGAGACUUAAGGACUACCUUGAUAGAGUAGAAACAGGAACAACACACCUCAUUUCCU